RNAcentral lists this ribosomal RNA (960 nucleotides) under uncultured organism. Its description in RNAcentral is "bacterial SSU rRNA". It matches the Rfam family "Bacterial small subunit ribosomal RNA", at positions 470 to 1428 of the family's 1533-position model. The record is from RNAcentral.
UGACGGUACCCUACUAGAAAGGAGCCGCUAACUUCGUGCCAGAAGCGUCGGUAAUACGGGGGCUCCAAGCGUUAUCCGGUGUUAUUGGGCGUAAAGAGUCGUGUAGGUGGUUGGGUAAGUUAUCUUUCAAAUAUCUUUGCUUAACAAAGAGGAGGGGGAUAAUACUGCUCGACUAGAAUUUUCUCAAGGGAGAUCGGAACUGAGGGAGGAGUAGUGAAAUGCGUUGAUACCCUCGGGAACACCAGUGGCGUAGGCGGAUCUCUGGGAGAAGAUUGACACUGAGACACGAAAGCUAGGGGAGCGAAGCAGAUUAGAGACCUGCGUAGUCCUAGCCGUAAACGCAUGCUUGCUAGCUGCAUGAAUCUACCUUCGGGUGAUAUCGUGUGGCGAAGGUAACCCGUUAAGCAAGCCGCCUGGAAAGUACGGCCGCAAGGCUGAAAUUCAAAGGAAUUGGCGGGGAGGCACACAACCAGUGGAACAUGUGGUUUAAUUCGAGACUAACCGAAGAACCUCACCAGGGUUUGACAUGUAGCUGCACGUCUUAAGAAAUUAAGACUCUCUUGAAGGUGCUACACAGGUGCUGCAUGGCUGUCGUCAGCUCGUUCCGUGAGGAGUGCCCUUAAGUGGGACAACGAGCGCAACCCCUAUUACAUGUUAGAAAUGUCAUGUAAGACUGCCUUGCCAUUUGGCGGGGAGGAAGGAGGGGCAGACGUCAAGUCCGCAUGGUCCUUAUGCCCUGGGCUACACACAUGUUACAAUGAGUACGGCAAUGAGUCUGUCGCGAGCACGUAAGUGUAAGCUAAUCUCUUAAAUGUACUCUCAGUGGGGAUUGAGGUCUGCAACUCGACCUCAUGAACACGGAAUUGGUAGUAAUCGCGGGUCAGCUAUACCGCGGUGAUACGUUCUUGCCUCUUGCACACACCGCCCGUCAAACCAGCAAAGUCGAUUGUAUCCGAACCU